Molecule: ribosomal RNA, 1274 nt
Filed under: Mycobacterium parascrofulaceum
Lineage: Bacteria; Bacillati; Actinomycetota; Actinomycetes; Mycobacteriales; Mycobacteriaceae
Description: bacterial SSU rRNA
Rfam family: Bacterial small subunit ribosomal RNA
Source: RNAcentral
AAACUGGGUCUAAUACCGGAUAGGACCACUUGGCGCAUGCCUUGUGGUGGAAAGCUUUUGCGGUGUGGGAUGGGCCCGCGGCCUAUCAGCUAGUUGGUGGGGUGAUGGCCUACCAAGGCGACGACGGGUAGCCGGCCUGAGAGGGUGUCCGGCCACACUGGGACUGAGAUACGGCCCAGACUCCUACGGGAGGCAGCAGUGGGGAAUAUUGCACAAUGGGCGCAAGCCUGAUGCAGCGACGCCGCGUGGGGGAUGACGGCCUUCGGGUUGUAAACCUCUUUCAGCAGGGACGAAGCGCAAGUGACGGUACCUGCAGAAGAAGCACCGGCCAACUACGUGCCAGCAGCCGCGGUAAUACGUAGGGUGCGAGCGUUGUCCGGAAUUACUGGGCGUAAAGAGCUCGUAGGUGGUUUGUCGCGUUGUUCGUGAAAACCGGGGGCUUAACCCUCGGCGUGCGGGCGAUACGGGCAGACUAGAGUACUGCAGGGGAGACUGGAAUUCCUGGUGUAGCGGUGGAAUGCGCAGAUAUCAGGAGGAACACCGGUGGCGAAGGCGGGUCUCUGGGCAGUAACUGACGCUGAGGAGCGAAAGCGUGGGGAGCGAACAGGAUUAGAUACCCUGGUAGUCCACGCCGUAAACGGUGGGUACUAGGUGUGGGUUUCCUUCCUUGGGAUCCGUGCCGUAGCUAACGCAUUAAGUACCCCGCCUGGGGAGUACGGCCGCAAGGCUAAAACUCAAAGGAAUUGACGGGGGCCCGCACAAGCGGCGGAGCAUGUGGAUUAAUUCGAUGCAACGCGAAGAACCUUACCUGGGUUUGACAUGCACAGGACGCGUCUAGAGAUAGGCGUUCCCUUGUGGCCUGUGUGCAGGUGGUGCAUGGCUGUCGUCAGCUCGUGUCGUGAGAUGUUGGGUUAAGUCCCGCAACGAGCGCAACCCUUGUCUCAUGUUGCCAGCGGGUAAUGCCGGGGACUCGUGAGAGACUGCCGGGGUCAACUCGGAGGAAGGUGGGGAUGACGUCAAGUCAUCAUGCCCCUUAUGUCCAGGGCUUCACACAUGCUACAAUGGCCGGUACAAAGGGCUGCGAUGCCGCAAGGUUAAGCGAAUCCUUUUAAAGCCGGUCUCAGUUCGGAUCGGGGUCUGCAACUCGACCCCGUGAAGUCGGAGUCGCUAGUAAUCGCAGAUCAGCAACGCUGCGGUGAAUACGUUCCCGGGCCUUGUACACACCGCCCGUCACGUCAUGAAAGUCGGUAACACCCGAAGCCAGUGGCCUAACC